RNAcentral lists this long non-coding RNA (1341 nucleotides) under Bos indicus x Bos taurus (hybrid cattle). RNAcentral's name for it is "lncRNA (ENSBIXG00000008500.1)". The record is from RNAcentral. Lineage: Eukaryota; Metazoa; Chordata; Mammalia; Artiodactyla; Bovidae.
GUCCGGUGCUGGAGUCAUUCUGAAACCAUCCUGUGCUCCCCAGUCUCGUGGAAAAAUUGUCUUCCAAGAAACUGGGCCCUGGUGGCAAAAAGGUUGGUGCCCGCUGGUUCAGGGGAAGAAAAGCCAGGCGAGGUUAUUCACGGGUGCAGCAAACACCAUUCCUGCUGACUCUGCUCUCGUCACCAUCAGGACCUCCGUUUCCGUUGCCAUCUUUUCAGGAACUUGCAAAGCACACAUGUGGCUUGUGUGUGUGGCUGGUUCAGAGUUCCAGUUUGGAGGCCAGUUUGGCGCCUAGAGUGGGAGCGGGGGCCCUCAGCAGCCCUCCCCGUCUGGACUCUGCCCUCCCCUGUCUCUGCUGCAGCCGCCAGCAUCCAGAGGCUUGGUGCUGCCUGAGUCUCUUCCAGACACGGCUGGCGGGUCCCCCUCUGAAGUGAGAACUUCCUGCCUUCCGGAUUCCUCGGAACUGACAUCUGGGAGAAGAGGCAGAUGAGGGCAUUCCCCUGCAUGCAGGUGACCCGUAUCUGAGUGCCCUUGCCCAGGGCACGAAGCUCCAGGCUGGCCUCUGAGAGAGCGCGGAUGGAUCAGGUAUAAAUUUAUCCUUGUUGACCUCACAGCCUGCGAAGACUGAAGAGUGUCACUGGAGAGCCACACUCGGGGGAACGGGCACUUUGAGUGUCUGGGAACGAACAGGAGGGGAGAAGGGGCUGUGGGCACUUGGCGGAGGUGAAAGCUGAGCUGGCAGGAAGGAUGGGAACAGCUGGCUCUACAGCAGAGAUCCUCAGCCCCGGCAAAGUUGAUGCUAUGGUCCAGAUGCUUCUCUGUUGUGGGGCCGCCCUGUAUACACUAGGAUGUUUACCAGCCUCCUAGGCUUCUACCUAGGGGGACCCCUCCACUGGUGACGCCCCAAAUGCGUCUGUGUUAUCGUUUUGUUGUUUAGUCACUGAGUUGUGCCUGACUCUUGGAGACCCCGUGGACUGUAGCCCACCAGGCUCCUCUGUCCAUGGGAUUUUCCAGGCACUAGAAUGGGUUGCCAUGCCCUCCUCCAGGGGAUCUUCCCAACUCAGGGAUUGAACCCGGGUCUCCUGUGGCUCCUGCGUCGGCGGGCUGAUUCUUUACCACUAGCACCGCCUGGGAAGCCCUUGAGCCAAGUGGGGAUUUAAAUCUCCUCCACGGGGAAUGAUUAAGGUUUACAGACAACGUGUGGUCAGCUGGAAUGGGUUCUCACAUAUUAGUUGUAUGUGUAAAGGCCACCCUAGGAAUACUCUGGCUUCUCCCCUUUGAGUGAAUACUUGGAAAGAAGAGAACAAUAAACCGUUGUGGGAAGGGAAAUCUGAGUCCUGA